GUUUUUUUAUUGAAGCUGGAUGAAGGNUGGNGAGAAAAAUACUGUCUCUAGAAAAUUUAUUAUUAAAAUUAACUUUUAAGUUAAAAGGCUUAAAUUUUACUUAAAGACGAGAAGACCCUAUAGAGUUUUAUACCUAUAAUUAUAAUGAGUACUUGGUUAUUUUAUUUUCUUGUAUGAUUAGGUAUUUGGUUGGGGUGACUUAAAGAUUAAAUAAACUCUUUAAAUUUAUAAUCAUUGAUUUGUGAAUUUAUAAUCUAAUUUUUUAAAGUUAAAAUAAAUUACCUUAGGGAUAACAGCGUAAUUUCUUUUUAGAGUUCUUAUUGAAAGAGAAGUUUGCGACCNCC
This 344-nucleotide ribosomal RNA is filed under the name Limonius ectypus. RNAcentral's name for it is "partial 16S ribosomal RNA". Lineage: Eukaryota; Metazoa; Arthropoda; Insecta; Coleoptera; Elateridae. The record is from RNAcentral.